This is an RNA transcript of Salvelinus namaycush (lake trout), 2700 nucleotides long. It is a transcript of the gene named feline leukemia virus subgroup C receptor-related protein 2-like, with no coding region annotated. The record is from RefSeq and is a predicted model, not a curated record. NCBI's taxonomy places the organism in Eukaryota, Metazoa, Chordata, Actinopteri, Salmoniformes, Salmonidae. The transcript is spliced from 11 exons.
AUGUAAAACCAACUGGCCCAUUGAUACUUCGCUCGACGCUGAACAGAAUGACAUCUCCAUACAUUAUUUAAAAACAAAUGUAGGGCUACAUUUGUUGAGUUUGAACGGCUUGUGAAAGUAGGCUACUGUUUUUUUUGUCAACUUCAGCACAACAGGAACAGGAAAAGUGCCCCUAUGCAGGCUACUUGCAAAUGUAGUCUAUGAGUGGCUUGUCUAGUUUACCCUUUGCACAGCGAGUUAUUUAAUAGUUGUUUAGCGAACUGAAACUUCACAUUUUCAUCUCAGGGAAUGCCUUUGCUUUAAACUACUUUAUUUGCUAACGUGGCAUCAAAUAGAAAGUGGUGUCGGUUGUAGUUUCUGAUUGGUGAACUUCGAGAGGUGGUGUAGCUGGUUUGGCUUGUGUACUAGAGUACUGUCAAAAGAUCUGGAGCUGUCACAUAGCCAGGCUGGUCCGAACUCUCACUAAAAUGUAAGAGGCAUACGUGUCUGUAUUGUAUUCACCUGCCCGUCCUUAAUUAAACUUCAACAUGAGUGGCGAAAAUGAAAAACCCGCCUUGGUUUAUGGCGAAAUCAACGACAAUCAAAAUGUGUUAGAUCUGGAAAAAAUUACAAUUAUGAAGUAUGCCGUUGACAGCGAGGACGUGCGCAUGGAGCACAAGAUAGGACUCCAGAACAGCGACGAUACAAACCAAACCAUCAAACUAUACAAGCGGCGAUGGCUCAUCGUGUUGCUGUUCAGCUCGUAUUCUCUCUGUAACUCGUUCCAAUGGAUCCAGUACGGAAUUAUCAACAACAUUUUCAUGAAGUUCUACGGGGUAGAUUCUUUCACUAUAGAUUGGAUGUCUAUGAUAUACAUGUUGACUUACAUUCCCUUCAUAUUCCCGGUCACCUGGUUACUGGAUAAGAAGGGGCUCCGUGUCAUUGCGCUGGUUGCUACAGCCAUGAAUUGCGCGGGGACUUGGAUCAAAGUGACCAGUGUGAGACCCGACCUGUUCGCGGUCACCAUGUUCGGACAGUUCUGCUGCUCCUUUGCGCAGGUGUUUAUCCUCGGGAUGCCGUCGAAGAUCGCCUCGGUGUGGUUCGGAUCGGAGGAGGUGUCCACCGCUUGCUCCAUCGGGGUCUUCGGAAACCAGUUGGGUAUAGCCAUUGGGUUCCUGGUCCCUCCCAUCCUGGUGCCUAACGGUGAGGACAUGGAUCAGCUGGCCUAUGACAUCAGUAUCAUGUUCUACAUCACAGCAGGAGUUGCUACGCUGCUCUUCAUACUGGUCGUCAUGGCGUUCCAGGAGCGUCCGGAGCUCCCUCCUACCCAGGCCCAGGCCACAGCUCGCUGUAUCCCUCCAGAACAGUACUCCUACACCGCCUCCAUCCUCAGGCUGCUCCGAAACAAACCCUUCCUCCUCCUCAUUCUCACAUACGGACUGAACGUGGGCUGCUUUUAUGCUGUGGGCACGCUACUGAACCGCAUGAUCAUCGAACACUACCCUGGUGAAGAGUUGAAUGCAGGGAGGAUAGGUCUCACCAUCGUUAUCGCUGGCAUGGUGGGAUCACUGAUCUGUGGCAUCUGGCUGGACAGAACCAAAACAUACAAACAGACUACCCUGACGGUCUACCUCAUGUCCUUCGUAGGGAUGUUGGUCUAUGCCUUCACCCUCAGUCUGGGACAUCUCUGGGUAGUCUUCCUCACCGCUGGAGCUCUGGGGUUCUUCAUGACAGGCUACCUGCCCCUGGGCUUUGAGUUUGGAGUGGAGCUGACCUACCCCGAGUGUGAAGGCACCUCUUCAGGCCUGCUCAACUGCUCUGCACAGGUGUUUGGUAUCAUGUUCACUAUCUGCCAGGGGAAGAUCAUAGAUAACUACGGGACGCUGGCAGGAAACAUCUUCCUCUGCGUCUUCCUCUUCAUCGGAUCGGUCCUCACAGGCUUCAUCAAGUCAGACCUGCAGAGACAGAAGGCCAACCAGUUAGCCAAGGCAGCUGCGGACGGAGAGCUCUCUGGUCAGCAGCAGGACUACGGGGCCACGGCUCUAAUCAACAAGCCAGACUGCCCUUCUGCUUCUCUUCAGGCUUGAUCACUAACCCAUAUACCCUAUAACCCCUACACUCUUAGCUCGAACCUCAGACGGGCCAAGGUCCCGGCAGACCCAGAGGAUGGGAACAUCUCUGCCCCUGCAGUCCUCGACGAAACCAGGUUUUAGAGACGGACGAUCUGCUGGACACUCUCACACACACACACACACACACACACACAAUAAAUCACUCGUUUAUGACCACUUCCCUUUAACACUGUCCAAUAAGGCUGCAUUAACACUGGCAGCCCAAUUCGGAUCUUUUCUUUCACUAAUUGGUCUUUUGACCAAUCAGAUCAGCUCUGAAAAAGAUCUGACGUGAUUGGUCAAAAUACCAAUUACUGGAAAAAAGAUCAGAUUUGGGCUGCCUGUGGAAACGCUGCCUAAGAGUCUUCCACUAUUUAUGCCUAAUUGUGCAAAUACCAUUUCUUUAUUAUUUAUAGAGAAAUGUGUGUAUGUGUUAUGGUCGCACGCACACAGUGCCUUGGCUUAAAAUAUUCAGACCCCUUUGUCCACAUUUUAUUGCGUUACAGCCUGCGUUUAAAAUUGAUUACAUUUAGAAUUUUGGUCAUAAUGUCAAAGUUGAAAUACAGUACCAGUCAAAAGUUUGGACAUUCAAAGGUUUUUCUUUUAUUUU